UAUCCAUUUCAGGUUUUGAGUGGUGUCCAGAGCAGAUUAAGGGAAGAAAGACUCAUAUUUCAAAGGCAGAGGAGACCGUGGAUAUGCUGGUGCGUGCUGUGGAGGGGAAAGUCAGUACAUCAAGACCAGCAGACUCAGGAGAGGACCAUGAAGAUGGUUAAACAGGCAGAAGUGAAGCAGUUUGGCAGAGUUAUUUCAGAAGCUCCAGUUACAGUUUACCCUCAUUUCGCCUGGCAAGACGACCGAAGUUGAUGACCGUACAAAAACCUAAUUGCCCUUUGACCGCUUGGACACUAACAGGAAAUCUCCAUACAAAGACUUCCACAUAUAUCCUUGGGGAAAAGGGUAAAAUGGUUUGGACCAUAUGAAAGAUUUCUGAACUGGAUAAAAGUUGGCUCCUGAAAUCAGAGCCCAGGAGCAGCUGGGGAAGAGGCUCUGCAGCAGAGCAGACUGAUGGUGGGGGUCACCACGGAGAGGGAGGUGCUUCAGGUGCUGAUGGCUUUUUGAUCGGACUCGUGGCCAGAGCUUUGCAGCAAGGAAUUCCCCCGGCAGGCAUUGGUCACAGUUGGACGUUGACGAAUGCCUUUUGCUGCAUGGGAGCAGCUCUGAUGGACACCACGCCGGCGGUGUGCCGCGCUGGUGGGAGCGUGCGGAGAUUCGCGCUCUGCACCUCUGGUGACCGGUUCUUAAUUAUGGAGAAGUGUCCAAAUCUCUCUGAUGUCACCGCAUCACAACAGGCAACAGUUUUCCACAGUCGGACUUGUGUAUAAGAUGAUCAAUAGAUUUUUCUUCUUUUAAUAUCCAAAAUACAUGGUAUUUUAUCUCUUUAUUGUGUUAUUUACCUAUAGGACUUAAACCAGGUUUCUAACCCUAUUCUGAAAUGUCCUAUAAACACUUUAAUAAAGACAUUCUCUUAUACCAAGAAUUAAUUUAAUGCCAUUUCCAUUAAAGAUGUUGCAAAAGCAAAACAAUUUGCUAUGUGGCAUUCAUCACACCUAUGGCUUUUUGAUCACUAAAGUCAUGUCUAUACCUUUCUUUGCAAGUUAAAAUACAGGGUUUAGUUCAAACCAACAAAUGCCAUCUUCAUUACAAAGUGUUUCAGAAAUCACUGUGACUUCUAAAAUGUCUAAAUAUUCUAAAUCGCUGGACUUUGAAAAGAAAUCACCUCCUGGCUCCAUAGUCGCAUGGAGCUGCACAGCACUGAAACAGGCAAAGGCAGCAAGAAUGGCAGCUCGAGAAAAAAGUACCUUCUUUAACAUGUGGAGCUAAAUGCUACAACAUUUAACAGGGAUUUUAAUUCCACCAAUGUACAAAAAGGCAGCAAAGCCGUGUUGGGUCUCUUGUACUUCUCUCUUACAGACAAACAGUAGGAAACACGGCUGACCAUGAAGCAACAGCAAUGUCUUUGCAUAAUUUUUCUAUCAUGCUUGAUUUUGUUUCUUUGAGUACUUCUCCAAGCUUUGGGUUUGUUGAUGCUUUUUCUGUGUUUGUAAAAUACCCAGAGACUUGUAAAAGUCCUUCUGGAAAUUCAUGGACCUGUGCACAGAAGAUACUGGUGGCUGUACCUUCAGAAGAACAUGCACAAGAACAGGAGCUUUUUAUCCUGCCUCUCCCAAUCACAUCUUUAAUCUCUUCAUGUGGUUUAUGCCUGCGGCUUUCUGCAGAUGCCUCAGCACCUCCAGCUACAGACCAUAAAAGAGAACCUAGAAGGUAGACCGAUAAGGCUGGUGAGCCAUCCUCACCACACCUGCGGCAGGCUGUUUAAAGUAUCUUCUAUUUUCCAAUGAACUCUUACCUUUCAGUCUAAGAACCACUUAAGGAAGAAAACUAUUGCUUUGGUGCUUAAGGUAGUGCAGAGUGGGGAUUUCUAGCUACGUGGUUCAGCACCUGGGAUGUGGGGACAAACAGAGCUGCAGGGUCUUUGAAGAGAGGUGGAGUUGCUGACCUCUUGGAGGAUUGUCACGGAGGACUUUAAACAAAGUUUGGGGAGAUUAGCCCAAAAUGAGGGAGGAAGCAGUGUGAACGGGGAAGACAGAAGCAAGCAGGAGCGGAGAGGAAGCCACUCACCUCCCUGCCAGGUGUGGAGGGUGCUCGGUGCUCACCUCCCUCGCCCACACACUGACCCGCGGGGCUGUGCCAUCAGGCAACAAGUGGGGGUCAAUGCACUCUCUCAGGGCAAUGGGGGAGGAUUUAUUUAUUUUUUUCCUAUGGGAAGAAAAAAACAGGUCAAAUAUUGAAAACAUUUCUCAAAAAAAUGUAAUGUUCCUAUUUUCAAGUGUUGGGUUUGACAAUGAGGCAUUGUCUUCACACACAAACAAUUUUUAGCUGCUGUUAUGCUCUCUGCAUCACUAGUCAAAUUUUCUGCUUGGAAACUAGACUUUUUAGAAUUGUUUUCAUCUGCCCAAAGGCUUUACUUUCUCCACUAAAUCUACUACUGAUCUGUUCAACAUAGUAAACAUACCCAUCUUCUCACAGGGCUGACUUCAGGUUUAAUGCAUAUGUAUCUGCAGAACAGCAGACACAGUUGCAUAUGUUAGAGACUUCAGCUUGAAAACUGUUGUGUUGUCAUUUGUGGGAUAGGUUCCUUCUUCCUUUCUCCCACAAAGCUGUAAGAAAAUAAAAAAGAAAUUACCUUUCAUUGCAAGUCAAUUUGUGGGAUAUAAUGGCACAAUUUAGAAAGGAAUAUUGCAGACUGUAAGACCACUUGGAUUAGAAAUCUCGAAUCAGUUUGUAAGGAUAUAUAUAUUUCUAUAGUAUUGUGUUUUGUUGUGCGGGGAAUUUAAUAAGAGAUGUAAAUCUGCAAACAGCAAUGGUAUCACCAUAAAAUAUAAAAGAUUCAUGUAUUAUAAAUAGGUAUGAUAAAUAAAUAAUUUAUAUGAAUGUAUAUCUGGAUAUGUGUACAUGAAUGCACGUUCACUUUUCUUUUUGAAAUAAUUAGUGGCAAACUAUUGUA
Molecule: long non-coding RNA, 2953 nt
Organism: Grus americana (Whooping crane)
Lineage: Eukaryota; Metazoa; Chordata; Aves; Gruiformes; Gruidae
Exons: 4
Source: RefSeq, a predicted model, not a curated record